RNAcentral lists this ribosomal RNA (251 nucleotides) under uncultured prokaryote. RNAcentral's name for it is "partial 16S rRNA". It matches the Rfam family "Bacterial small subunit ribosomal RNA", at positions 525 to 775 of the family's 1533-position model. The record is from RNAcentral.
ACGUAGGAGGCGAGCGUUGUCCGGAUUUACUGGGUAUAAAGGGUCCGCAGGCGGAUUGACAAGAGGAUGGUGAAAUUCUUCAGCUUAACUGAAGAGCUGUCGUCGAUACUGUUGAUAUUGAAUACAGGAGAGGGUAACCGAAUUCCAGGUGUAGCGGUGAAAUGCUUAGAUAUCUGGAAGAACACCGGUAGCGUAGGCUGUUGCCUGGCCUGCUAUUGACGCUCAGGGACGAAAGCGUGGGGAUCAUUCAG